GACGAACGCUGGCGGCGUGCUUAACACAUGCAAGUCGAACGAAAAGCGAUGGAAGCUUGCUUCUAUCAAUCUUAGUGGCGGACGGGUGAGUAACGCGUAAUCAACCUGCCCUUCAGAGGGGGACAAAAGUUGGAAACGACUGCUAAUACCACAUACGAUCCGACCUCGGCAUCGAGGAGGGAUGUAAGGUGGCCUCUAUUUAUAAGCUAUCACUGAAGGAGGGGAUUGCGUCUGUUUAGUUAGAUGGAGGGGUAACGGCCCACGAAGGCAAUGAUCAGUAGCCGGUCGGAGAGGAUGAACGGCCACAUUGGGACGGAGACACGGCCCAGACUGCUACGGGAGGCAGCAGGGGGGAAUCGGCCGGAAUGGACGAAAGUCUGACGGAGAAACGCCGCGGGAGGGAUGACGGCCGUCGGGUUGUAAAGCUCGGUUAAUCGGGAGGAAAGGUCUUCUUGCGAAUAGGUAGAAGAAUUGACGGUACCGGAAGAGAAAGCCACGGCUAACUACGUG
This 510-nucleotide ribosomal RNA is filed under the name uncultured bacterium. Its description in RNAcentral is "partial 16S ribosomal RNA". It matches the Rfam family "Bacterial small subunit ribosomal RNA", at positions 28 to 507 of the family's 1533-position model. The record is from RNAcentral.